AGUGAACGCUGGCGGUAGGCCUAACACAUGCAAGUCGAACGGCAGCACAGUAAGAGCUUGCUCUUACGGGUGGCGAGUGGCGGACGGGUGAGGAAUACAUCGGAAUCUACUUUUUCGUGGGGGAUAACGUAGGGAAACUUACGCUAAUACCGCAUACGACCUACGGGUGAAAGCAGGGGAUCUUCGGACCUUGCGCGAUUGAAUGAGCCGAUGUCGGAUUAGCUAGUUGGGGGGGUAAAGGCCCACCAAGGCGACGAUCCGUAGCUGGUCUGAGAGGAUGAUCCGCCACAGUGGAACGGAGACACGGUCCAGACUCCGACGGGAGGCAGCAGUGGGUAAUAUUGGACAAUGGGCGGCAGCCUGAUCCAGCCAUGCCGCGUUGGUGAAGAAGGCCUGCGGGUUGUAAACCCCUUUUGUUGGGAAAGAAAAGCAGCAGGUUAAUACCCCGCUGUUCUGACGGUACCCAAAGAAUAAGCACCGGCUAACUUC
This 489-nucleotide ribosomal RNA is filed under the name uncultured bacterium. RNAcentral describes it as "partial 16S ribosomal RNA". It matches the Rfam family "Bacterial small subunit ribosomal RNA", at positions 29 to 504 of the family's 1533-position model. The record is from RNAcentral.